This 468-nucleotide ribosomal RNA is filed under the name uncultured bacterium. RNAcentral's name for it is "partial 16S ribosomal RNA". It matches the Rfam family "Bacterial small subunit ribosomal RNA", at positions 28 to 507 of the family's 1533-position model. The record is from RNAcentral.
GACGAACGCUGGCGGCGUGCUUAACACAUGCAAGUCGAACGGAAAGGCCCUGCUUUUGUGGGGUGCUCGAGUGGCGAACGGGGGAGUAACACGUGAGUAACCUGCCCUUGACUUUGGGAUAACUUCAGGAAACUGGGGCUAAUACCGGAUAGGAGCUCCUGCUGCAUGGUGGGGGUUGGAAAGUUUCGGCGGUGGGGGAUGGACUCGCGGCUUAUCAGCUUGUUGGUGGGGUAGUGGCUUACCAAGGCUUUGACGGGUAGCCGGCCUGAGAGGGUGACCGGCCACAUUGGGACUGCGAUACGGCCCAGACUCCUACGGGAGGCAGCAGUGGGGAAUAUUGCACAAUGGGCGGAAGCCUGAUGCAGCAACGCCGCGUGCGGGAUGACGGCCUUCGGGUUGUAAACCGCUUUCGCCUGUGACGAAGCGUGAGUGACGGUAAUGGGUAAAGAAGCACCGGCUAACUACGUG